GGUCAGCGACUUAUAUUCUGUAGCAAGGUUAACCGAAUAGGGGAGCCGUAGGGAAACCGAGUCUUAACCGGGCGUUAAGUUGCAGGGUAUAGACCCGAAACCCGGUGAUCUAGCCAUGGGCAGGUUGAAGGUUGGGUAACACUAACUGGAGGACCGAACCGACUAAUGUUGAAAAAUUAGCGGAUGACCUGUGGCUGGGGGUGAAAGGCCAAUCAAACCGGGAGAUAGCUGGUUCUCCCCGAAAGCUAUUUAGGUAGCGCCUCGUGAAUUCAUCUCCGGGGGUAGAGCACUGUUUCGGCUAGGGGGCCAUCCCGGCUUACCAACCCGAUGCAAACUGCGAAUACCGGAGAAUGUUAUCACGGGAGACACACGGCGGGUGCUAACGUCCGUCGUGAAGAGGGAAACAACCCAGACCGCCAGCUAAGGUCCCAAAGUCAUGGUUAAGUGGGAAACGAUGUGGGAAGGCCCAGACAGCCAGGAUGUUGGCUUAGAAGCAGCCAUCAUUUAAAGAAAGCGUAAUAGCUCACUGGUCGAGUCGGCCUGCGCGGAAGAUGUAACGGGGCUAAACCAUGCACCGAAGCUGCGGCAGCGACACUCAGGUGUUGUUGGGUAGGGGAGCGUUCUGUAAGCCUGUGAAGGUGGCCUGUGAGGGUUGCUGGAGGUAUCAGAAGUGCGAAUGCUGACAUAAGUAACGAUAAAGCGGGUGAAAAGCCCGCUCGCCGGAAGACCAAGGGUUCCUGUCCAACGUUAAUCGGGGCAGGGUGAGUCGACCCCUAAGGCGAGGCCGAAAGGCGUAGUCGAUGGGAAACGGGUUAAUAUUCCCGUACUUGGUGUUACUGCGAAGGGGGGACGGAGAAGGCUAUGUUGGCCGGGCGACGGUUGUCCCGGUUUAAGCGUGUAGGUGUGUGUUCCAGGUAAAUCCGGUUCACUUUAACACUGAGGCGUGAUGACGAGGCACUACGGUGCUGAAGCAACAAAUGCCCUGCUUCCAGGAAAAGCCUCUAAGCAUCAGGUAACAUCAAAUCGUACCCCAAACCGACACAGGUGGUCAGGUAGAGAAUACCAAGGCGCUUGAGAGAACUCGGGUGAAGGAACUAGGCAAAAUGGUGCCGUAACUUCGGGAGAAGGCACGCUGACAC
RNAcentral lists this ribosomal RNA (1139 nucleotides) under Salmonella enterica. RNAcentral's name for it is "partial 23S ribosomal RNA". It matches the Rfam family "Bacterial large subunit ribosomal RNA", at positions 618 to 1757 of the family's 2925-position model. Lineage: Bacteria; Pseudomonadati; Pseudomonadota; Gammaproteobacteria; Enterobacterales; Enterobacteriaceae. The record is from RNAcentral.